AGGCUUAACACAUGCAAUCGAGGGGCAGCACAGGUAGCAAUACCGGGUGGCGACCGGCGCACGGGUGAGUAACGCGUAUGCAACUUGCCUAUCAGAGGGGGAUAACCCGGCGAAAGUCGGACUAAUACCGCAUGAAGCAGGGGCCCCGCAUGGGGAUAUUUGCUAAAGAUUCAUCGCUGAUAGAUAGGCAUGCGUUCCAUUAGGCAGUUGGCGGGGUAACGGCCCACCAAACCGACGAUGGAUAGGGGUUCUGAGAGGAAGGUCCCCCACAUUGGUACUGAGACACGGACCAAACUCCUACGGGAGGCAGCAGUGAGGAAUAUUGGUCAAUGGGCGUAAGCCUGAACCAGCCAAGUCGCGUGAGGGAUGAAGGUUCUAUGGAUCGUAAACCUCUUUUAUAAGGGAAUAAAGUGCGGGACGUGUCCUAUUUUGUAUGUACCUUAUGAAUAAGGAUCGGCUAACUCCGUGCCAGCAGCCGCGGUAAUACGGAGGAUCCGAGCGUUAUCCGGAUUUAUUGGGUUUAAAGGGUGCGUAGGCGGCCUUUUAAGUCAGCGGUGAAAGUCUGUGGCUCAACCAUAGAAUUGCCGUUGAAACUGGGAGGCUUGAGUAUGUUUGAGGCAGGCGGAAUGCGUGGUGUAGCGGUGAAAUGCUUAGAUAUCACGCAGAACCCCGAUUGCGAAGGCAGCCUGCCAAGCCAUGACUGACGCUGAUGCACGAAA
RNAcentral lists this ribosomal RNA (719 nucleotides) under uncultured Bacteroidales bacterium. RNAcentral's name for it is "bacterial SSU rRNA". It matches the Rfam family "Bacterial small subunit ribosomal RNA", at positions 44 to 758 of the family's 1533-position model. The record is from RNAcentral. Lineage: Bacteria; Pseudomonadati; Bacteroidota; Bacteroidia; Bacteroidales.